AGUUCUAAAUCUUUGAGAUACUGCAGACUCUUCCACUUUUGUGAUGAAAUUUUUUUGGUAUGCUAAUAAUCCUGUAUGAGCAAUCAUUGCUCCGUUAUCAAUGCAAUAACUAUCAUCCAUGCUACAUACAAUAGCUCCUCUAUCCUUUGCCAUUUGUUCCAUCAUUUCAAUCAACCUUAAAUUGCAUCCAACACCUCCGACUAGUAAGAUUGAAUCUGAGUUUAAUAGACUGAUUGCUCUUUCUGUAACUUCAAUUAACAUUGCAAAAAGGGUCUCUUGCAAAGAAAAGCAGAAAUCUUGAUAAAAAGAUUGUAAUUUUUGUUCAUCAUUAUUAAAUUCUUUUUGUUUCUCUGCUAUUAGUUCUUCUCCAAAAGUUAGAAUUCCGGAAAAUGAUAAAUCCAUGCCUUUAACAACAUAAGGAAGUGAAAUUAAAUUCUUUCCUUUUUUUGCCAUUUGUUCAAUAUGGUAUCCUGCUGCAGGAUAAUUGUCAAGUUUCAUAACUCUAGCAAAUCUAUCAAUGCAGUUCCCGAUUGCAAUAUCCAAAGUUUCACCUAAAAUUUUGUAUCUUUUGUUGGCAUAACCUAUUAUUUGAGUGUUUCCUCCUGACGCAUAUAGUACUAUAGGAUUUUCAACUUUAGUUACGAGUCUUCCCAUUUCUAUGUGAGCAACGCAAUGAUUUACUCCGAUUAAAGGUUUUGACCAAAGCAUGCUCAACAUUCUUGCAACUAGAGCUCCAACCGCUAAAGGUGCACCCAUUCCUGGUCCUUGUGUAAAUGAAAUAAUUGUUAUUGAAUUCUUAUUUAUUCCGGAUUUUUCUAAAGCCUGUUUAACCAAAUGCAAUAUAUUAUUUCUAUGAAAUUCUGCAGUUUCUCUGGGUAAAAAUCCAGAGCCCUAAAAUUGAUUAAAGUAAUUAAAGUUAAAGAUAAGGAUUAUUCAAUAUUAUUUUCAUUCAAACUUACAGGUGGUCCCACAAAUGUCAUUUUUUCAUUUGCCAAGAUUUCUCCUUUAGAUGUUACUAUUCCGACUCCUACCUUGUUUGCGCUUGACUCAAUCCCAAGGGAAAUUAGAACUUCAUUAUUAGAUCCCUCCAUGAAUUUGAUAUUUCAAUUUUGAGAAAUCUUUUCAAAUCUUUAAUCUUUAUUUAAUUCAAAACAUAAAAAUAGCAUUAACUUUUAAUUAAGCUUUUUUAGCGGUAAUAUUUUAUAUAUGGUUAAUGUCAUUUUUACUUUUAUUUGACAAGAUUUUUCAUAUCAUUAAAUUGAUGUUAUUAUUUUAAUUUUUACGGAGAAAAAAAUGUUUUUGUAAUUUUGGAUUUUACC
Molecule: non-coding RNA, 1319 nt
Filed under: Cryptosporidium parvum
Lineage: Eukaryota; Apicomplexa; Conoidasida; Eucoccidiorida; Cryptosporidiidae
Source: RNAcentral